CAGAAAAUGGUGUAAAGUGUAAUUUUUUCUUGGCCACCUUGUUUAUUUAAGCAUGUUUGUCAAAACCUACCGCAGAACGGUUAUCCUAGCUUGAAGAAAUCCUUCUGGGUCAGAAAGCCCUUUGGAUGGCUGGGAUCCAACUGCUCUCCUUCCCGUUUCUCUCUUUUAAGUUCUGAGAUUCUGUCAAAGUCUGGGCUGAAUUCCUGAAGCCAGUUGGAGUGUAGCUGUUCUUUUGUUCCCCGCUGCCAACCACAGAAAGCAAUGUUCAUCAGUUUUUGUAGUCACCGGCUUUAAAAGCUCUAAGUCCCAUUGCUUCCUUUGAAUGACCUGAUGCAAAGCUGUGUUUUAAACCUAGGAAUGACUUUACAGAGCUUUUCCCUUGUAUUGCUGUGCUGUCCCUGAUUUCAAGGAAGAAUGCAUUAAGCAGGCUGUCAGUUUCUUAAGACUGUCAAAGGAAGCCCAAAUGAGGAGACACUUCUGUGAGAGGCAGCUGGAGAUCAAACCCACCCAGGAUGCUCUCCAGUCAGUAUCUGCAGCAACAAAGAAUCUUGCAGAUAGACAUGUAUUUAAAACAGCCAGCUCACGCACUGCUGGCUGUAGGCCCCAUCAGGAGGAAUGUAUUUUAAAGGACCAGCCCAAGACCAGGGGAGGAUAACUGACCUUUCAGUGAAGAAAAGCUGCCAGCAUUUUCAGCAAACCCCAGGAACAGCAUCCAAAUCCUGCAGUCCAAUGCCCAGACUGUUUCCUAUUCUCAGUUAUUUUACUUUGUGUUUUGAUAAUUUGUGAUGAAUAUUCACAUGUCAUAAAAAAGACCUUUAAAUAAAAUGAGAUGAAACUAAAGAACA
This 845-nucleotide long non-coding RNA is filed under the name Coturnix japonica (Japanese quail). RNAcentral describes it as "lncRNA (ENSCJPG00005014058.1)". The record is from RNAcentral. Lineage: Eukaryota; Metazoa; Chordata; Aves; Galliformes; Phasianidae.